RNAcentral lists this unclassified non-coding RNA (370 nucleotides) under uncultured Weeksellaceae bacterium. RNAcentral's name for it is "contains 16S-23S intergenic spacer region". The record is from RNAcentral. Lineage: Bacteria; Pseudomonadati; Bacteroidota; Flavobacteriia; Flavobacteriales; Weeksellaceae.
UCACUACUUGCGUAGGCAGUCUCGCCAGAGUCCUCAACUGAAUGGUAGCAACUGGCGACAGGGGUUGCGCUCGUUGCAGGACUUAACCUAACACCUCACGGCACGAGCUGACGACAACCAUGCAGCACCUUGAAAAAUGUCCGAAGAAGGGUCUGUUUCCAAACCUGUCAUUUCCCAUUUAAGUCUUGGUAAGGUUCCUCGCGUAUCAUCGAAUUAAACCACAUAAUCCACCGCUUGUGCGGGCCCCCGUCAAUUCCUUUGAGUUUCAUCCUUGCGGACGUACUCCCCAGGUGGCUAACUUAUCACUUUCGCUUGGUCCCUCACGCCGAAGCGCAAAAAACGAGUUAGCAUCGUUUACGGCGUGGACUAC